CUGCUAUUUUCAACAUCAGAAAAUUUUACAUUGAUAGAUUUAUGCUUCAGUUUCCUUCUGGUGCUUGCAUUGGAUAUUUUUGUUUUGUUUUAUUUUACUUCACAUAAUCAGUUUCAUUGUAAGGACAGAAGGCUUUCUUUAACAUCAGUGAUUUGGCUUGUCACCAAGCGGUGACAGAUCUUUCCCAUGCCAUGGAUGAUUCAAUAAGAAUAUCUACUGAGCAUUUCCAUUCUCUUUGCUGCUGUUAUCCUGCAAAACACAGGGUGCAGUCUCUCUUGGAUAACCUUUCUACUGCUGAGCUCCAUGGCACAAAAAAUAAACCCUGUUCCAGAGUAUUUCCCCAUCUUUGAGAGCAGGAGUUUAGGAUCACAGGAGGAACAGGAGGGAGAGAGUCACUGAUUCUGGAAGCUGUAUAAGGAUCAAGUAGAAAUAGAUCAUUUCAGCCUAACAAUUUCAUUUCACGUCUCAUAGAAGGAUGUUAACUAGAUUUUGACAUUUUAGAAGGAAGCAAAAAUGAAACUACAUAAUUGAUACUUAAUGAAUAUUGAUUUCAACCCCCCCUUGAUGCAUUGCCACCUUCUCAUGGUGAGGAGGCUCAUGUGUUCUGGUGAACCUGUGGGUGAAGGUGUCGGAGUCUUGUGCUCUCAGGAGAGUCUCCCAGGGUGUCAAGGUCACAGGGGAGGAACCAAAUCAAGCACAAUCUGAAGUCCUCAAUGGUGGAACAGGCAGACAAUAACAUGGUAUAUGUUAUAACAGCUGUGAAGGAGAAAGAGGGCUGCAACACACAAAGGGCCACUGGUCAUUGGGUUAACCACACCUCUGGAUCUGAACCUCUUUUUGGGAAGACUGUGUGUUGGUUGGAUGUGCACUGAUCACACAUAAAACAAACUCACACACAGGCAUCUUCCAAGAAAACAAAAAGAAAACUAACAAAAGUCCCAUGGCGAUUAGUGAGUGAUGAAGGGGGAAAGACUGUGAAAUUUGGAAGCCCCUAGCCAUAGGCUGGCAAAGAGUGGUGGACAUGGAUUCAGUCAUUAUACCUCAAGGUCCGAGGCAGUUGAGCAGUCUGGCAGCUGUAUCCACAACUGAGCAGCCCUAUAUAUGAUCCACUUUGCUUACCCUAUACAGAGAGGGGGCUAGAAAAGGUGCCCUAAAAAUAGUUUGCCUCUGUUAUCCCUGACUAGACUACCAUGCCCAGAGGAGUCACCACCUUGCAGUCAAAAAAGACAAUUUUGGAACAUGGAACAUACAGACAAUUUUGGAUAACACAGAAUAAUGAAGUUGGUGGAUAAAAAAGACUCAAGAAAUCCAACACCUCAUAAAUGUCUAUGACACAUGGGGAUUCUUUAAUGCCACAAAAAUAAGCUAUAGCCCAACAAAUUAUGACAUACACCCUCUACAUUCAUCAGAUGGAACUAAACUUCUAAAGGACAAAAAAUUGCACUACACUGGAAAGAGCACUACCACAACCUCCUUAACUGCAGCUCCAAUGUGGCUAAAGAGGUUCUAUUGCAAAUCUCACAACAACAAACCAGGGAUGAGCUUGCAGCAUUGCCUAGUUUGGAAGAAGUCAGCGAAGCCAUCAACCAACUGAAAAAUAACAAACCCAGUGAAUCUGAUGGGAUUCCUGUGGAAAUCUUUAAAGAGGAUCUGAGUUUAAACAACAACUCCACCAGCUCAUUGAAAAAGUGUGGGUGACUGAGAAGAUCACAGCAUAGGGUUGUUGUGUGUUUUCCGGGUUGUAUGGCCAUGCUCCAGAAGUAUUAUUUCCUGAUAUUUCGGACACAUCUAUGGCAGGCAUCUCAGAGAAACGUGGACUAUCUACAAACUUCACUCUCAACUUCUGGAAUGGUUCCAUCAGCAUUUCCUCUGAAACAUCCUGCAAAUCUCUUGGGAAGACAGGCAGACAAAUGUCAGCGAUCUGGAAGAAGCAAAGACCACCAGCAUUGAGGUGAUGAUCCUCAGCCAUCAACUCCGCUGGACUGGCCAUGUUGUCCAAAUGCCUGAUAACCGUCUCCCAAAGCAGUUACUAAACUCUCAACUCAAGAACAGAAAACAGAAUGUUGGUGGACAGCAAAAGGAAUUUAAAGAUGGGCUUAAAGCUAACCUUAAAAACUGUGGCAUAGACACCGAGAACUAGGAAACCCUGUAGAGACCACCCAAUUUCCUGCUGAAACUGCUUACUUCACUGUGCCCCAUGACCAGGAGAGCAGUACAGGUGUCAUUUCACGACAUCCCCCCCCCCCACCCGCCCAUCUGCAGCACCUCAGUAACUCUUUGGUUGUGGCACUGCCGAGCUAACAAGGUGUAUUUUGAUGGUCACAUUUGGUAUGAAGGACUGCAAACACGAAUCCCUUGCAACUCAUAAAUCCAGUGUACAAAUCUCAAAACAUCUGAACAGGAUUUCAGACACAGGAUUCCAGCAUUUGACAUUUGAAAGUUGGGGAUGAAUUUUAAAAAUCUGGUGUGUUUCACAUAAGUUGUUUAAUUUCUAAACUCUAUAUGGAUGACGUGUAAUGAUAUUUAAGUAUUCAAAGACAUAGGUUGCAUCUUUACUGUAGAAUCAAUGCAGUUUGACAUCACUUUAACUGUCAUGGUUCAAUGCAUAUUAUAUUAUGCUUUUGAUGUACUGUGUAUUAAUUGAUAUGACUCUGUGUCCAUUUUGUUUAUUAAUUUAACCAUUGGUUUCAGUUCUUUAUAAGUCAUACUGAGUUUAUUUUAUUUUAUGUUUUCUCUUGAUUGUUUACUUGUUUUGGGGCAUUGAAUGUUUGCUAUCUUUGUUAUUUUUUGUAAACCACCCUGAGUCCCAUGGGGGAGAGAGGGUGGGUUAUAAAUAACAUUGUUGUUGUUGCUGUUGUUGUUGUUGUUGUUAUCUCCCAAACUUUGCUGGUGUCUCACCAAAGUACAACUCCCAGGAUACAAAGUAUUGAGCCAAAGCAGUUGAAAUUAACACUACUUUAACUGUAUUAAUUCUAUAAUAUAGAACUAGCCUAAGUUCACCUGAGAAGCCAUAAGAUUAUUUUAUUAUAUACAUUACAUAAUAUUAUAUUAAUAAUGUUUUAAAACUACAUCAAUAAUAUUGCUUUAAUAUUAAUAUAUAUUAAUAUAUUAUCUGACUUUUAGAUAAGAAUUGUGCAUGAGUUUUGUAACAAAUAGACUGAGAAUACAAAGUAGCCCUUUUCUUCUCCUUUCUUAACUAUCAUUCUUACAUAUUUUAUGGUAAAUGUACUUUGGAGGUUUUCCACAAAAAUACUCAGCGGAAAGGUCAGUGCCAUCCAUGUGCUAAAUAAAAAUGAUAUCACAAACCCUCAAGCAUUUUGUAAUUAAGAAGCAACACAGAAAAAAAAUCAGAAUAAUGCAGAAGGAAAGAGGGAAGGGAAGAGCAAAGAACGAGGGAAAAAGACCUAAAACUAGUUAAAAAACUGUGUACACACACCAAAUUUUGCUUUUCACUUUAGGAAUCAAGAUAUAAUUUAUGAAAGAGACCUUAUGUAAUGGGACUCUUAAAAGAAUAUACCCCAGAGAAAUACUGCCUUGAUUUCCAACUAUUCCAUCUGACAGGUAGAAAGCUAUGCAGUGAAAAAUAUGUUCCUUUACUUUAGUGAUUUCAGCAACAAGAUGGAUUAUUUUUUAUAGGCCCUACAACACAAACUGAGGUGUAGCUACAAGAAGGGAGGGGGCAAAAUGAAACCAUUGCCCUUUCCAAAUAUGAAUUCUAAAUAUGAUGAAGUGCCCAACAGAAUAUGUUUGAGUUCCAGGUUUUCAGUGUCUUACUCUUCAUGAUGCUAGAAAUUUGGUGACUAAAAGCAAAUUUCAUGCAUAGAAUAAUUAUUUUGGGGAGGGCAAUGCACUUUUUUUGCCUCUUUAAUACCCAUUCCUAUUUUCUUACUUUUUGUUUUGGCCAACUUGCAUUAUAUCCUUUUUUGUGGAAGACAUAAUAAUAAGAGUCAGUGAUUCAGAUUUGACAUAAAGUUGUAUUUUGAUUAUCCAGGUUCUGGCUUGACCCAAUCAUGUGUUCCCCAAUGGUUCAUUUUAUUUCCUUUUCCAGACCUGGAGAAAAAUGGAACUACAGCACUACACAUUUUACAUCAGUUUUAUACCAUUUUAAUGGGUAUGAUUGCAUUCUAAAGAAUGCCUGUAUUUGUAUUCUGAUAGGAUGUUUAGAAUUCUUAGCUAGAUAGCUUAAAUAAGUCACCCAAAUUACAAUGCACAAGGUUAUCUGCAUGCCUAUUUAUACAAAAUUCAAGUCAUUUAAUGUUCCAGCCUCCUCUACUCAAGGUGCUGGAGUGUGUACCUCACUGAACUGUAGAUCCCAGGAUUUCUAAAGAUGAUGCUUUAACAAUUAAAGGGCCAUGAAACUGAGAGAAAUGUGUGGUGCAGAUCCACUGUAAGGUCUGAAAUGAAAUCUCUGCAGGACAAAUUAUAUAAAUCAGAAGGAUGGUUCUAUCAGAGUUGUGUAAAAAUAACAGUAGGAUGAGAAUUGCACCCUGUUUUGGAUUAUGUUUUGCAACAAUGAGGACUGAGGAUACAUUUGGAAGAAAAGAAAGAAACUGAAGAAGGAGAGAGGUAAGCAUGUGAGUAUUGAUCUCUUACAGUCAGAGCAAAAGAGAAAAUUAAGUGGAAAAGAUAAAAUUAAACAAGAAAUAAUGAAUUGUAUUUUUUUCUUGGAUACACUUAAUGGUUCUUAUUUAUUUUUUCCAGGAUGCCAAAGAAUUGAUUCUGACAUAAUCAGAGCUUGGACUGUUACCCAUUCACACUACAUAAUUAUCGCAUCACUUUGAUUGCCAUGGUUCCAUUCUAUGGAAUCCUGGGCUUGUAAUUUGUCGAGGUAUUAUAAAUCAGUCUGCAGUAGAGAAUUCUAGAUAUCCCUCCCUAAAAUGCAAGUCAUGUAAUUCCUUAGCUUGUUGCCAUGACAGUUAAAGUGGAAUCAUAACAAUUAUAUAGUGACUGUGUACUGCUGACAUUACAUAGCUGUUACUGCCAAUUUUAACACGGUUGGAAUGGAACCAAUUACUCUGUUCUUUGUAAUGAAAUUAUUUGGUAUGUUGCUAUCCAUAACCUUAUUUUUCAGAACUGAAAGACUUAGCUGAGUUAGUCUGGAAUAUCAAAGACAUACCUGAGGGCCUUUCCACACAGCCAUAUAACCCAGAAUAUCAAGGCAGAAAAUUCCACAAUAUCUGCUUUGUACUGGAUUAUCUGUCAUAUGUUCCAGUUCAAAGCAGAUAAUAUGGGAUUUUAUUCAACCGCGUGGAAGAGGCCCGAGUUACAGGGUUGUUGUAUGUUUUCCGGGCUGUAUGGCCAGGUUCCAGAAGUAUUCUCUCCUGACGUUUCGCCCACAUCUAUGGCAGGCCUGAGUUAGUUUGGAAUAUCAGUAUGCUAGGGAAUCUUGUAGCACCCAUUAGCCUCAAAGAUACUACAAGAUUCCUUGAAUUUAUUUAAUAGAACCGAGAUUUAAUGUCAUCUUUUUUAGUUUGCUGUGUGCCACACUUUUAAAAGUGUGCCUCCGUGAGAAUUUUCCUCUAUCCCAGUUCCAAAUAUAUGCCCCAUUCACACUAACAUUUGUUUUUUUUUUUCUUUUUCAAAUCUCCAAGGAACAGGAAAAUAGGGUAGAAGGAGAUCCAGAGAGAGAAGAUAAUACCAAUACCAUGGAUGCAUGGCAUAUAAUAGGAUGUUUGAUGCCCCCAAACUGCCUCCAAGCUCACAUAGCAUAGAUGGCCUUGAUGGUGGUGGUGGUGGUGGUGGUGGUGAUGGUUCUUUAGAAAUGGGGAGACUAAGGAAAUAACUUCUUCUCAUAUCUUCAGUUCUUUCACAGGACCAGAUACAUUUGAUAAAUGGAGCUGGCGUGGUGUAAUUGUUUGGAACAUUGGACUAUGACAUCAAAGAUAAGGAUUCAAAUCUCCACUCAGACAUAAAACUCACUAUGACACCUUGAAUUUUAAGUUGUGAAUUUUAAUCUGCAUUUCAUCAAUGGAUUUAACUUGUAUUUUAACUCUAUGUAUCAUGUAGUAUGUCUUUUAAUAGUGUUUUUCUCUUGUAAUGAUGUGAUAUCCCACUUCGAGCAGCAGGGAGAUGUGGGUAAUAUAUUCAUUGUUGUUGUUAUUGCUAUUAUUAUUAUUAUUAUUAUUAUUAUUAUUAUUAUUAUUAUUAUUAUUUGAAACACAACAUGAUGAGUCCACAGCAGACACUCGGCUGGUUGUUGUACUGGAUCACACUCCGGACACUUCCCAAGUGUCUAGGGCUGUGUGAUGUAUCGGUGAAUAAUGCGUGCAGAUCCCAGUAAGGUGGCCUUCUGCAGCUGGCAGAUGGUAAUUUUGUUAGCGCCGAUUGUGUUUAAGUGCAGGCCAAGGUCUUUAGGCACUGCACCCAGUGUGCCAAUCACCACUGGGACCACCUUGACUGGCUUGUGCCACAGUCUUUGCAAUUUGAUCUUUAAAUCCUCAUAUCAUGCCAGCUAUUAUUAUUAUUAUUAUUAUUAUUAUUAUUAUUAUUAUUAUUAUUAUUAUUAUUGACCAAGUCAUACUUUCCUACCUCAGAGGAUGACAAUAGCAAACUUCUUCUGAAUAUAUCUUGCCUUGGUGUUGCCAUAGAUUGAAAAUGACUUGAAGGCAUACACCAUCACAACAACAGCAUGGGUGUUUGGUAAGACCUUGUAGAUGUGCUAUUGCAGAAUGGUGAGUACAUCCUCAAUAUUUUCAUGGCUUUUUUGGAAACUUGGACUCCAGUACGAUCUAGCAUAUCUAAACCUGAAGAUAAUACUAUAAAGCUAUGCAGAAAGUUCAAAAUCUAAGCAGUUGGUGACCUGUACAGAGAGUAUGCAGCCUAUAUAAAUUAUGCUUCUUAAACUGUCAUACUGGGCUGAUGGGGUGGUGGUGGUGGUGGUGGGGAUUUAAGUGCAGCAAGGCAGUCAUGUAUGUUGUCAUUUUCCUCUGCGAAGCAUUGAUCAAUAUAACAAGGAAAAGUUUGCCCCUCUUUUCACUGCUUCUCAGACAACAAGAAAUAACUGUGUCAGUCCAAGUGGCAAUGGAACGAUAAAAUAAUCUGACAGCUUUACCAAGAAAACACCCACAGGACUGAUACUAUGUAGCCUAUAUUCCACGGGUUAUCUCAUACAUGGGCAAACUUUGGCCCUCUAGGUGUUUUGGACUUUUACUCCCACAAUUCUUAACAGCUAGCAAACUUGCUGGGAUUUCUGGGAGUUGAAGUCCAAAACACCUGGAGGGACCGUUUGCCCAUGUCUGGAUUAUCAGGACUCUGUUGCCCCCCUUCCCUAUGGUUCAGGGACUGACUCUGGAUUAAAUAGCCUAUCUUGAUGACAGCAAAGCAACACUACUCGGUAGAGUCCAAAAUGUAGAUGAUGUGUUGAUUGAUCUAAACCUGUGUAUCUAUCUUUAAAAAGAAACUGCUGGUUUUUAGCUUUUCCCUGUCUUUAGUAUUUUAAUUACUCUCUCAGUACUAAACUACCACAAAAUACUUAGGGAUUAGAACAGGGAUUGUUCAUAAUAAUCCAUUAAGGCUGGGAAAAUUCAUUCCCAUUUUAGCUGAUCAUAUGAAUUGCAAUACUCCCCAAGUGUCUUGAUUUGGUAGGAGCAGUCCCCUCCGUCAUUUGACUUUUUCAUCUGUUUUUAACAUGUCCUAAAUUCUCUCUCAUCAUCUGAUUGUGCCUCCUUGUCAUCAGUUCAUUUAGUGUGGCAGAGAAUGAUGAUAGCCAACAUGACUGAAUACAAUAGUCUUCCAGACAUAGAGUCUUGGUGGUGCAUCUGUAAGUGAUCAUGAAGAUGUAUUCUGGGUCGACAUGGUCUUUCACAUUGAGCUCAGAUUGCCAGAUGGAAGGUGGUGACGACAAGGAUUUGCUUGAUGUGCCUUCCACCAGUUGCUACAAACCGAGGUCAAAGUGAAGAAGUAGUUAGCAUUCUAUUAACCUGGCAAGAAGAUGUGGAUGACCUUCCCUGCAAACUUUUGCAGCCUCUCUGAGCUUGUGUGUUCAAUCAUCCUCAGUAAUAACUUUUGCCAUCUUGACCACACUCUGGUUGUGUCAUUUUCCAUCUGUGAAAUGUUUACAGUUGCUGCUAGCAGAGUAUUCCAUCCUACACAGAUGUCUCUGGUGUUGACACCACUAGUGAAAACAAAUGUGACAGCUUCUGGUAAGAUGUGUCCACCUUUCUGUCCUCAUAUUUUCACUGCUCUACUGCUGAAUUAAUCUUGUCUGUCUCAAUUUAUUUGCUGCCCACCUCCCACCUGCCUUUGGCAUCUCCCAGUAUUAUUACUUCAAAAUUGUUCUCUCCACCUUCUCCUCCUCCCUCCUUCCCUUCUCCUUUUUCCCCUUCCUCCCCCCAUUCUCUUCCCUCUGGUUCCUUCUAUAGAAUCCAUGCAUAUUACAGGUCAGAACUCUUUUGAAGUGAUGUCUUCAUGCAGCAAGUUGAUCUUGCCUCGGCUGGAUGAAUCCCCACUAGAAAAUGAGUUAGAUCCCACAGAACCACAAAUCAUAGAUAAGCAGAUCAUAUCAUAGGAUCUUGAUACAGUUGAAGUGUAUCCCAAUCUUGGGAUAAACAACUGUUGAACUUUCCAGGGAGGAUGUGGGUAUCCACCUCUCUAUAUUGGAGGGGAUCUAGAAUGACAUCCCGCUCCAGAAAUCCCAUGGAUAGUACAGAACUAUAGCAUGAUGAUUGCACUUUAACUUCUAUGGUUGCAUGCUAUGAAAUUCUGGGCUUUUAGCAUGGUGAAUCUUUGGCAGGGAAUUCUAAAGGUCUCUCUAAACUGCAAGUGCAUUGUGUUAGGGUAUAAUGAAGCUCUGUCUGUGUUAAAGAAAAAACUACACAGCUGAUCAUAACAAGUAGGAGCUAAUCUAGGUCGGCAGCUAAGCAAUUAAGAUUGGACCACACCUGGUGGGGUGUGGCUGUGUGUGUGUAUUAGCUUCUGCUCCUUCUUUUGGUUUCGUUUUGCUUUUUGGAUCUCUCCCUUGGAAGAAGAGGCUGAAGAAGCCAUGCUCUUUGUAUUUUACAAUGCUUUUUGCAUCUUGAAAUGCUUACAAGGACUAUGGCCUCUGCGGGACCACCCAGAUGAUCGCCAGAACAAGAUUAAAAUCUCUUUCACUACACAAAAACCUGGCUUUAGACAUUCUGCUGACUGUGGUGCACAACAAAGGCAUGCCCUUCCUGGCUCAAGUAAAAGUACAUAGUACCCAGAGCUUGACAAAUUGUUUUGAUACGUGACAGAAAAAAAUCAACAAGUAUCCUUUCCUCACUAGGAAAGUAAAUAAUAACAACAAUAGGCUUUAGCACAGCUGGCUAAUCACCAGCAUCAAGAGAUCAUUGCUAACCAAAAGGUUGGUCGUUCGAAGCCUGAGUUGGAGUGAGCGCCCGACCGUCAACCCAGCUCACUGUUCACCUAAGCAGUUUGGAAACAGCUGCACUGUGAUUAGAAAUCGCUUAGCGGGGAGGUAUUUUAUGGCACUAUAAAAAAUGCCUGCGAUUAAAGAAGGAGGAAAAAUUCUGCCAUCAAAAGACUCAUUGUCAUAGUGGAUGGAGUGACAGCACCCCCUGUGGCCAGAAUCUAGCAUAACUUCCAGGUGUCGUAGUUGGAAAAAAUGUGGAUAUACUUCUAUCUGUUUGUCUAUCAUGUAUGUCCAAUGGCAUUGGAUGUUUGCUGUGUAUAUGUGUGUUCUGAUCCGCCCUGAGUCCCCUUCAGGGUGAAAAGGGCAGAAUAUAAAUUCUGUAAAUCAAUAAAUAAAUAGCAACAAAAAUAAUACUAUUACCAAUAACAAUAACAAUGUAUCAACUUGGUAACGUUUUGAAAAUUCAGCUGUACCCUGCAGUGGUCACCUCUUUCCAAAUGGCAGGGCUGGUUGACACCCAAAUUAACAAAUAAAAUGCAUUUCAUUUUGGCAGAGAAACACCUAUCAUUAUACAGAAUAAGAAAACCUUUUCAGGUAGCAGACGUUAGGGUGGGGUGGGGGAAUGACAGAACAGCAUGUGCUAGCUUGAAAUUACUUUUCUUUCUUUGAGAGCAAAGGAGGACACUGUUCUGCUGCCAUUGUUGAACUAUAAUUCAAUGGAGAGAGAAAUUUACAUAUACAAAUAAAAAUGGCAUUUAUAUCU
Long non-coding RNA from Anolis carolinensis (green anole), 10094 nucleotides. RefSeq lists it as uncharacterized. The record is from RefSeq and is a predicted model, not a curated record. The transcript has 4 exons. Lineage: Eukaryota; Metazoa; Chordata; Lepidosauria; Squamata; Anolidae.